CCUACACACCUUGUUACGGGUGCCCUUCACAGGGUGAAACGGGAAACCGGUGCGUCACGUGCCUUACUCAAGGCCUUGACCAGUCCGGUGCUGCCCCCGCAACGGUAAGCGAGCGAAGAAUCAGAUCCACUGCGCCGGUCAUCCGGCAUGGGAAGGCGAUUCUUGCAGGCCAGGCGCAAGCCCCGCCCCUCGCGAGCCCGGAGACCGGCCCGCAAUAGACACAUAAC
This 227-nucleotide non-coding RNA is filed under the name Pseudomonas sp. Lineage: Bacteria; Pseudomonadati; Pseudomonadota; Gammaproteobacteria; Pseudomonadales; Pseudomonadaceae. The record is from RNAcentral.